AUCGAACGCUGGCGGCAGGCCUAACACAUGCAAGUCGAGCGAGCGGCGGACGGGUGAGUCAUGCCUGGGAAUUGCCCAGUCGAGGGGGAUAACAGUUGGAAACGACUGCUAAUACCGCAUACGAUUGUAUCGCCUCGGUGGGAGUAGCUAGUGGGUGAGGUAAUGGCUCACCAAGGCGACGGUCCCUACCUGGUCUGAGAGGAUGAUCAGCCACACUGGAACGGGGACACGGUCCAGAAUCCUACGGGGGGCAGCAGUGGGGAAUAUUGCACAAUGGGGGAAACCCUGAUGCGGCAAUGCCGCGUGUGUGAAGAAGGCCUUCGGGUUGUAAAGCACUUUCAGCGAGGAGACGUUACUCGCAGAAGAAGCACCGGCUAACUCCGUGCCAGCAGCCGCGGUAAUUC
Molecule: ribosomal RNA, 404 nt
Filed under: uncultured bacterium
Lineage: Bacteria
Description: partial 16S ribosomal RNA
Rfam family: Bacterial small subunit ribosomal RNA
Source: RNAcentral